Molecule: long non-coding RNA, 1622 nt
Organism: Dromaius novaehollandiae (emu)
Lineage: Eukaryota; Metazoa; Chordata; Aves; Casuariiformes; Dromaiidae
Exons: 3
Source: RefSeq, a predicted model, not a curated record
GUGACCAAAUAUUCGCGAUACAUAGGAGCGCAUAUGCGUAGACACACGCACGCAUAUAAUCUAAUUAGAGUUUCACGUAAGGAAACAAUCUGACCUUCAGCAUCUAAGUUGAGACAACAAAUCAAGGAUAUUAGUGCAGUACAAGCAAGCAGUAAGUUAGGAGACCCCAGGGAAAGCCGUCCUCAUAAGCACUCCGGUUGUGCAAAGCGAGUUACAUUCAGGUAAACCCGGGCUGCAGUGCCUUCAGCUUUCUCGGAAGUUGAAAAAUGUUUAACUUCGCUUAACUCCGUGAAAGAGUCGCGGAAAAGCCCCUCCGCACUGUCAGAGGUCCGCUGGGAAGAGGGCAGCGCUUUCCCCGCCGCCUGGGCUGCUUUCUCCGGACGCCUCGCUAACGAGGAGCCAGCCGCAGCGUUUGCAGGGAGCCUUCCGCGAGGGCAGCUUUUCUUGCGCGGAAAUCUCUCUCCGCGAGGGAGAGGGCCUUUCGCAGGUCCUCCCCGCUGCCGCCUGAGCACCGGGGUGCCGAGCUCUAGACCCGCGGAAAGUUCAGCCAGGCGACGGAGCAGCACAGCAGCUCACCCGCCAUUUUAAAACCACACUUGUAGCUGUGCAAAAAAAAACUGUUCGGGGAAAUUCAGCUCGGAAAAUGCGGCCUAACCUCCCAUCACCGGGCGCGCAGCAAGAUGGCCACCUGGAGCUGCAUGGGGAGGCUGCUCAUGGAGUCCAGUGAACAGAGAGGGAUUCCCAGCUUCUGAGUGGUGGUGGUGAGCAUGGUGUCCGGGGCAGCUACCUGUUGUUGAGACAAACAGUCCGUGGUGAGAACUUGCAGCGGGGUGCUGCUCGGUCAGCCCUGGCAUGACUGAGGCCGGCAGGUCUCUGCGCCUGAAGAAGUCCCUACCUGCUGCCAGAGCCUGGGCUGGGUGAGACACGGGGACAGUUCCACGUAAAAUCCAUUCCCUGGCUGAAGAAAAAGCACUGAAACACAUUCCUAACCUGCACGUAUCCUGAUGCUGCUCACCUGAAGGAAAGAACAUCGUCUGCAGGUUUUACAUUGCGAAUGACGAAAGUGUAGGUUAAGGCUACAGGCUCUAUGCACUGAGGCCUUACAGGUCUUAAAAAGCUUAGGGCUUCAGCACAGAAGGAAGCAUCUACUUAAGUUUUUAAGAGGGCGGAUUGUGAACUUAAAAAAAGAAGAAACAUGGGGAAAGAGGGAGAAAUAGGGCAUCCGCUUUAAGAAAGAAAAACACAACUGUAAAUAUCUGCCCACAGGAUUACCACAGACCUCGGAUCCCGGCAAAAAAAAAAAAAAAAAAAAAAAUCCCACCAAUAAACGCGCAGUCUUACAAAAUAAAGCAACAAUUAAUUCUCUAACCAUCGUGUCAGAUACUCCGCGUUUCAAUACCUUGACUUACUGCUAGCUUGCCAAUGGGUGCUCGCUGCGGAGGGAGAGUCUGCGCCUUUCCAGUGCCGUGUAAAGCUCUCGGCGCGGAAUUUUGCCUUUCCAGAAAAGUUUAACAGUAUCGGCGAUCGAUCGCUUUUAUGUUAAUUAGUAAAACAAGAAAAUGUUUGGCAUUUUCAACCCAGUUAUUCUCAUGACAGAGACCACUAGCCAAUGAUCAGAAACG